AACCUGGUUGAUCCUGCCAGUAGUCAUAUGCUUGUCUCAAAGACUAAGCCAUGCAUGUCUAAGUAUAAAUGCUAUACAAUCGAAACUGCGAAUGGCUCAUUAAAACAGUUAUAAUUUAUAUGAUAAUCGAAUUUACAUGGAUAACCGUGGUAAUUCUAGAGAUAAUACAUGCUGUUAAGCCCAACUUAUGGAAAGG
This 196-nucleotide ribosomal RNA is filed under the name uncultured marine eukaryote. Its description in RNAcentral is "partial 18S ribosomal RNA". It matches the Rfam family "Eukaryotic small subunit ribosomal RNA", at positions 1 to 199 of the family's 1831-position model. The record is from RNAcentral.